UUAAAAUUAAAUGGCGAUUGUCGGUAUGGUCGCUUGUUAACCCCAGGGCUUUCGUUCCAGCGAAGUGACUAGACCGAACACUCGUGCUAUAAUUUUAGAAU
RNAcentral lists this microRNA precursor (101 nucleotides) under Drosophila guanche. It matches the Rfam family "mir-286 microRNA precursor family". The record is from RNAcentral. Lineage: Eukaryota; Metazoa; Arthropoda; Insecta; Diptera; Drosophilidae.